This 253-nucleotide ribosomal RNA is filed under the name uncultured bacterium. RNAcentral describes it as "partial 16S ribosomal RNA". It matches the Rfam family "Bacterial small subunit ribosomal RNA", at positions 524 to 776 of the family's 1533-position model. The record is from RNAcentral.
UACGUAGGGUGCAAGCGUUAAUCGGAAUUACUGGGCGUAAAGUGUGCGCAGGUGGCCGCGCAAGUCGAGUGUGAAAUCCCCGAGCUUAACUUGGGAAUUGCGCUCGAAACUACGUGGCUCGAGUGUGGCAGAGGAAGGUGGAAUUCCACGUGUAGCGGUGAAAUGCAUAGAGAUGUGGAGGAACACCGAUGGCGAAGGCAGCCUUCUGGGCCAACACUGACGCUCAUGCACGAAAGCGUGGGGAGCAAACAGG